UCCUACGGGAGGCAGCAGUGGGGAAUAUUGCACAAUGGGGGAAACCCUGAUGCAGCGACGCCGCGUGAAGGAAGAAGUAUUUCGGUAUGUAAACUUCUAUCAGCAGGGAAGAAAAUGACGGUACCUGACUAAGAAGCCCCGGCUAACUACGUGCCAGCAGCCGCGGUAAUACGUAGGGGGCAAGCGUUAUCCGGAUUUACUGGGUGUAAAGGGAGCGUAGGCGGUAAUGCAAGUCAGAAGUGAAAGCCCGGGGCCCAACUCCGGGACUGCUUUUGAAACUGUGUUACUAGAUUGCAGGGGAGGUA
RNAcentral lists this ribosomal RNA (305 nucleotides) under uncultured bacterium. RNAcentral describes it as "bacterial SSU rRNA". It matches the Rfam family "Bacterial small subunit ribosomal RNA", at positions 337 to 659 of the family's 1533-position model. The record is from RNAcentral.